CCUACGGGAGGCAGCAGUGAGGAAUAUUGGUCAAUGGACAAGAGUCUGAACCAGCCAAGUAGCGUGAAGGAUGACUGCCCUAUGGGUUGUAAACUUCUUUUAUAUGGGAAUAAAAUGUUCCACGUGUGGGAUUUUGUAUGUACCAUAUGAAUAAGGAUCGGCUAACUCCGUGCCAGCAGCCGCGGUAAUACGGAGGAUCCGAGCGUUAUCCGGAUUUAUUGGGUUUAAAGGGAGCGUAGGUGGAUUGUUAAGUCAGUUGUGAAAGUUUGCGGCUCAACCGUAAAAUUGCAGUUGAAACUGGCAGUCUUGAGUACAGGAGAGGUGGGUGGAAUUCGUGGUGUAGCGGUGAAAUGCUUAGAUAUCACGAAGAACUCCGAUUGCGAAGGCAGUUCACUGGACUGCAACUGACACUGAGGCUCGAAAGUGUGGGUAUCAAACAGGAUUAGAUACCCUUGUAGUC
Molecule: ribosomal RNA, 460 nt
Filed under: uncultured bacterium
Lineage: Bacteria
Description: partial 16S ribosomal RNA
Rfam family: Bacterial small subunit ribosomal RNA
Source: RNAcentral